UACGAAGGGGACUAGCGUUGUUCGGAAUCACUGGGCGUAAAGCGCACGUAGGCGGAUUUGUAAGUCAGGGGUGAAAUCCCGGGGCUCAACCUCGGAACUGCCUUUGAUACUGCGAAUCUUGAGUCCGAUAGAGGUGGGUGGAAUUCCUAGUGUAGGGGUGAAAUUCGUAGAUAUUAGGAAGAACACCGGUGGCGAAGGCGGCCCACUGGAUCGGUACUGACGCUGAGGUGCGAAAGCGUGGGGAGCAAACAGG
This 253-nucleotide ribosomal RNA is filed under the name uncultured bacterium. RNAcentral's name for it is "partial 16S ribosomal RNA". It matches the Rfam family "Bacterial small subunit ribosomal RNA", at positions 524 to 776 of the family's 1533-position model. The record is from RNAcentral.